RNAcentral lists this ribosomal RNA (490 nucleotides) under uncultured bacterium. RNAcentral describes it as "partial 16S ribosomal RNA". It matches the Rfam family "Bacterial small subunit ribosomal RNA", at positions 30 to 507 of the family's 1533-position model. The record is from RNAcentral.
AUUGAACGCUGGCGGCAGGCCUAACACAUGCAAGUCGAACGGUAACAGGAAGAACUUUGCUUCUUUGCUGUCGCGUCGCGGACGGGUGUGUCAUGUCUGGAAAACUGCUUGAUGGCGGGGGUUAAUUCCUGGAACCGGUAGCUAUUACCGCAUAUAGUCGCAAGCGCAUGGUGCGGGAGCUUCGGGCCUCCUGCCAUUCGCUUUUACCGGAUUGCAUUAGCUAGUAGGUAGGGUAACGGCUCACCCAGGCGACGAUCCCUAGCUGAUCUGAGAGGAUGACCGGCCACACUGGAACUGAGACACGGUCCAGACUCCUACGGGAGGCAGCAGUAGGGAAUAUUGCGCAAUGGGCGAAAGCCUGACGGAGCCAUGCCGCGUGUAUGAAGAAGGCCUUCGGGUUGUAAAGUACUGUCAGCGGGGAAGAAGAGAGUUAUGAGAAAACCUGCACACAUUGACGGUACCUGAAGAAGAAGCACCGGCUAACUCCGUG